GGAGAGGUGCCCGAGCCUGGCUGAAGGGACACGAUUGGAAAUCGUGUAGAGGGGUAAAACCCUCUCGCGGGUUCAAAUCCCGCCCUCUCCG
RNAcentral lists this transfer RNA (91 nucleotides) under bacterium. RNAcentral describes it as "tRNA-Ser". It matches the Rfam family "tRNA". Rfam says of the family: Transfer RNA (tRNA) molecules are approximately 80 nucleotides in length. Their secondary structure includes four short double-helical elements and three loops (D, anti-codon, and T loops). The record is from RNAcentral.